Molecule: ribosomal RNA, 253 nt
Filed under: uncultured bacterium
Lineage: Bacteria
Description: partial 16S ribosomal RNA
Rfam family: Bacterial small subunit ribosomal RNA
Source: RNAcentral
UACGUAGGGUCCGAGCGUUGUCCGGAAUUAUUGGGCGUAAAGGGCUCGUAGGCGGUCUGUCGCGUCGGGAGUGAAAACUUACAGCUUAACUGUGAGCGUGCUUCCGAUACGGGCAGACUUGAGGUAUUCAGGGGAGAACGGAAUUCCUGGUGUAGCGGUGAAAUGCGCAGAUAUCAGGAGGAACACCGGUGGCGAAGGCGGUUCUCUGGGAAUAUCCUGACGCUGAGACGCGAAAGCGUGGGGAGCAAACAGG